Molecule: ribosomal RNA, 474 nt
Filed under: uncultured bacterium
Lineage: Bacteria
Description: partial 16S ribosomal RNA
Rfam family: Bacterial small subunit ribosomal RNA
Source: RNAcentral
GACGAACGCUGGCGGCGUGCCUAAUACAUGCAAGUAGAACGCUGAAGGAGGAGCUUGCUUCUCUGGAUGAGUUGCGAACGGGUGAGUAACGCGUAGGUAACCUGCCUGGUAGCGGGGGAUAACUAUUGGAAACGAUAGCUAAUACCGCAUAAGAGUAGCUGUUGCAUGACAUUUGCUUAAAAGGUGCAAUUGCAUCACUACCAGAGGGACCUGCGUUGUAUUAGCUAGUUGGUGGGGUAACGGCUCACCAAGGCGACGAUACAUAGCCGACCUGAGAGGGCGACCGGACACCUGGGGACUGAGAGAGCGCCCAGACUCAGACGGGAGGAAGAAGUGGGGAAUAUUGCACGAGGGGCGGAAGCAUGAUGAAGCAAGUUCGUGUGCGGGAUGACGGCUUUAGGGUUGUAAAACGAUUUAGCAUGUGAAGAAGUGUGAGUGGCGGUAAUGUGUAAAGAAGCACCGGCUAGCUACGUG